RNAcentral lists this microRNA precursor (61 nucleotides) under Pristionchus pacificus. Its description in RNAcentral is "mir-8364 microRNA precursor family". It matches the Rfam family "mir-8364 microRNA precursor family". Lineage: Eukaryota; Metazoa; Nematoda; Chromadorea; Rhabditida; Neodiplogasteridae. The record is from Rfam by way of RNAcentral.
UCUUCAUUUCACAAUCUAUCUCACCGGUCAGAGUGGCGAGAGAGUGUGCGAAAUAAAGAGA